RNAcentral lists this ribosomal RNA (468 nucleotides) under uncultured bacterium. Its description in RNAcentral is "partial 16S ribosomal RNA". It matches the Rfam family "Bacterial small subunit ribosomal RNA", at positions 28 to 507 of the family's 1533-position model. The record is from RNAcentral.
GACGAACGCUGGCGGCGUGCUUAACACAUGCAAGUCGAACGGAAAGGCCCUGCUUUUGUGGGGUGCUCGAGUGGCGAACGGGUGAGUAACACGUGAGUAACCUGCCCUUGACUUUGGGAUAACUUCAGGAAACUGGGGCUAAUACCGGAUAGGAGCUCCUGCUGCAUGGUGGGGGUUGGAAAGUUUCGGCGGUUGGGGACGGACUCGCGGCUUAUCAGCUUGUUGGUGGGGUAGUGGCUUACCAAGGCUUUGACGGGUAGCCGGCCUGAGAGGGUGACCGGCCACAUUGGGACUGAGAUACGGCCCAGACUCCUACGGGAGGCAGCAGUGGGGAAUAUUGCACAAUGGGCGGAAGCCUGAUGCAGCAACGCCGCGUGCGGGAUGACGGCCUUCGGGUUGUAAACCGCUUUCGCCUGUGACGAAGCGUGAGUGACGGUAAUGGGUAAAGAAGCACCGGCUAACUACGCG